AACGAACGCUGGCGGCAUGCCUAACACAUGCAAGUCGAACGAGACCGUCGGGUCCUGGUGCGCACGGGUGCGUAACGCGAGGGAAGCUUCCCGUAUGGUCGGAAUAACUUUCCGAAAGGGGUGCUAAUACCGGACGAAUUCUACGGACCAAAGAUUUAUCUCCUUAGGAUGGGCCCGCGUUGGAUUAGCUAGUUGGUAGGGUAAACGCCUACCAAGGCGACGAUACAUAGCUGGUCAGAGAGGACGACCAACAACCCUGGGAAUGUAACCCGGACGAGAGGCUUGCGAAAGGAAGCAAGGCGGACUAUUCGACGAUGGGCGAAAGACUGAUCCAGCAGUGCCGCGUAAGUGAUUAAGGCCUUAAGAUUGUAAGGCACUUUUAAACGGGAUGAUAAUGACGGUACCGAGAGAAAAGGCUCCGGCUAACUCCGUG
Molecule: ribosomal RNA, 433 nt
Filed under: uncultured bacterium
Lineage: Bacteria
Description: partial 16S ribosomal RNA
Rfam family: Bacterial small subunit ribosomal RNA
Source: RNAcentral